Molecule: long non-coding RNA, 1078 nt
Filed under: Phasianus colchicus (ring-necked pheasant)
Lineage: Eukaryota; Metazoa; Chordata; Aves; Galliformes; Phasianidae
Description: lncRNA (ENSPCLG00000008279.1)
Source: RNAcentral
CUGCCCUCGCUGCUCUGCGCUGCCGCAGGUAUGUGGGUGCGGUGCGGCCACUUCUGGAAGUGGGGAGGGCCAUGGGCUGUCUGCUGGGGGGAGGAGAGCGGGUUUCAUGGGCAGCUGUGUCCCAGGGUUUGGGUGCAGAGCCCAGCACACGCACGGUGAUGCCUUCAAAGAGCUGUGCUGCAUGAGGAGGAAUGCUGGGUUCGAGGAGUGCUUUCUGUGCAGCUGCUGAUGCUGCUCUGUUCAUUGUCCUCCUGCCCAGACACCCAUGUACUGUAACCCCAUGGUCAGAGCCUCUUCCAACUCCCUCCAGUGAAGGGUACGUGUGUCCCCUGGGGCAGUUUCCCUGUGGCAAUCUCUCGGUCUGCCUGCCCCAGGCCCUGCACUGCAAUGGGGUGGACGACUGCGACAACGGCGCUGAUGAGGAGAACUGUGGUAAUUAGCAAGAUCCUAGGAAGGGGGGGUGUCCCUGGACUGGAAAUGCCAGGAACUGGGAUAUGAGAGCAUUUAGGGCAGAGCUGCGGCCUCCCCUGCAAGCAAUAGCAACAGCAGGAAUCAUGGGCUGUGGCGCCCUGGUUCUGGCACUGUAACGCAUGCCCACAUAGCAGAUCCCCUGUCUGGGACUCUCCUGCUGCAGUCCUCAGGGUUGUGUGGGCUGUGUGCAGAGGCAGAGGAAUGGGGCGUUCUGUGCCAGUUGUUGGGGCACACAGCUGCAGCAGAUGUAAGGAAACAAAGUGAAUUCCCUUCUUUGAACUAUAUGCCGUGCCGUUGGCGGGCUCUUUGCUCAGGGUUGCUGGAAAGCAGGAUGUAAAAGAGCCAGAGAUUGGGGAAACAUGCUGCUGGGAGCUGUGGGUGCAGCGCCUGGCACAGGACAGGCUUGGUGGGAUGGAAGAGUGGAAGGAAAAUUUUAUUGGGGUUGCAUUUGGAUGCACAUAACAUGGCCGGAUGGAGCUAGCUCUGCUUCACACAGCCACGGGGCUGGAGCCAGCCUGCUGCCUCCUUCCCUACACCCUGCCGGGGGCUGUGGGGUUCUGCACCCACCACGCAGAGCUGCCGGGCACUGCGGGAUGCAGCCAUGCCU